GAUGAACGCUGGCGGCGUGCCUAAUACAUGCAAGUCGAGCGAACAGACGAGGAGCUUGCUCCUCUGACGUUAGCGGCGGACGGGUGAGUAACACGUGGAUAACCUACCUAUAAGACCGGGAUAACUUCGGGAAACCGGAGCUAAUACCGGAUAAUAUAUUGAACCGCAUGGUUCAAUAGUGAAAGACGGUUUUGCUGUCACUUAUAGAUGGAUCCGCGCCGCAUUAGCUAGUUGGUAAGGUAACGGCUUACCAAGGCAACGAUGCGUAGCCGACCUGAGAGGGUGAUCGGCCACACUGGAACUGAGACACGGUCCAGACUCCUACGGGAGGCAGCAGUAGGGAAUCUUCCGCAAAGGGCGAAAGCCUGACGGAGCAACGCCGCGUGAGUGAUGAAGGUCUUCGGAUCGUAAAACUCUGUUAUUAGGGAAGAACAAAUGUGUAAGUAACUAUGCACGUCUUGACGGUACCUAAUCAGAAAGCCACGGCUAACUACGUG
This 497-nucleotide ribosomal RNA is filed under the name uncultured bacterium. RNAcentral's name for it is "partial 16S ribosomal RNA". It matches the Rfam family "Bacterial small subunit ribosomal RNA", at positions 28 to 507 of the family's 1533-position model. The record is from RNAcentral.